RNAcentral lists this ribosomal RNA (245 nucleotides) under uncultured archaeon. RNAcentral describes it as "partial 16S ribosomal RNA". It matches the Rfam family "Archaeal small subunit ribosomal RNA", at positions 474 to 719 of the family's 1478-position model. The record is from RNAcentral.
UACCAGCUCCUCGAGUGGUCGGGACGAUUAUUGGGCCUAAAGCACCCGUAGCCGGUUCCGUAAGUCCUCUGUUAAAUCCAACCGCCCAACGGUUGGCCUGCAGGGGAUACUGCGGGACUAGGAGGCGGGAGAGGCGGACGGUACUCCGCGUGUAGGGGUAAAAUCCUUUGAUCCGCGGAAGACCACCAGUGGCGAAGGCGGUCCGCCAGAACGCGCUCGACGGUGAGGGGUGAAAGCUGGGGGAG